Molecule: ribosomal RNA, 433 nt
Filed under: uncultured bacterium
Lineage: Bacteria
Description: partial 16S ribosomal RNA
Rfam family: Bacterial small subunit ribosomal RNA
Source: RNAcentral
AGCGAACGCUGGCGGCAGGCCUAACACAUGCAAGUCGAACGAACCUUUCGGGGUUAGUGGCGGACGGGUGAGUAACACGUGGGAACGUGCCUUUAGGUUCGGAAUAACUCAGGGAAACUUGUGCUAAUACCGAAUGUGCCCUUCGGGGGAAAGAUUUAUCGCCUUUAGAGCGGCCCGCGUCUGAUUAGCUAGUUGGUUGAGGUAAUGGCUCACCAAGGCGACGAUCAGUAGCUGGUCUGAGAGGAUGAUCAGCCACAUUGGGACUGAGACACGGCCCAAACUCCUACGGGGGGCAGCAGUGGGGAAUCUUGCGCAAUGGGCGAAAGCCUGACGCAGCCAUGCCGGGUGAAUGAUGAAGGUCUUAGGAUUGUAAAAUUCUUUCCCCGGGGACGAUAAUGACGGUACCCGGAGAAGAAGCCCCGGCUAACUUCGU